Molecule: ribosomal RNA, 437 nt
Filed under: uncultured Pseudoflavonifractor sp.
Lineage: Bacteria; Bacillati; Bacillota; Clostridia; Eubacteriales; Oscillospiraceae
Description: partial 16S ribosomal RNA
Rfam family: Bacterial small subunit ribosomal RNA
Source: RNAcentral
ACGGAAGGCAGCAGUGGGGAAUAUUGGGCAAUGGGGGAAACCCUGACCCAGCAACGCCGCGUGAAGGAAGAAGGCUUUCGGGUUGUAAACUUCUUUUGUCAGGGACGAAGGACGUGACGGUACCUGACGAAUAAGCAACGGCUAACUACGCGCCAGCAGCCGCGGUAAUACGUAGGUUGCAAGCGUUGUCCGUAUUUACUGGGUGUAAAGGGCGUGUAGGCGGAGCUGCAAGUCAGAUGUGAAAUCCCGGGGCUCAACCCCGGAACUGCAUUUGAAACUGUAGCCCUUGAGUAUCGGAGAGGCAAGCGGAAUUCCUAGUGUAGCGGUGAAAUGCGUAGAUAUUAGGAGGAACACCAGUGGCGAAGGCGGCUUGCUGGACGACAACUGACGCUGAGGCGCGAAAGCGCGGGGAGCAAGCAGGAUUAGAUACCCUGGUA